This 469-nucleotide ribosomal RNA is filed under the name uncultured bacterium. RNAcentral's name for it is "partial 16S ribosomal RNA". It matches the Rfam family "Bacterial small subunit ribosomal RNA", at positions 28 to 523 of the family's 1533-position model. The record is from RNAcentral.
GAUGGCCGCUGGCGGCGUGGCUAACACAUGCAAGUCGAGUGAUUCUCUCCGGAGAAGAGCGGCGGACGGGUGAGGAAUGCGUGGGUAACCCGCCCUGUACACACUGAUCACAUACCGAAAGGCAUGCUAAUACGUGACAAUAUGAUUUUAUCGCAUUGUAGCAGUAUCAAAGCUCCGGUGGUACAAGAUGGAGCCGCGUCUGAUGAGAUAGUUGGUAAGGUAACGGCUUACCAAGGCGACGAUCAGUAGCCGACACUGAGAGGCUGAUCGGCCACAUUGGAACUGAGACACGGUCCAAACUCCUACGGGAGGCAGCAGUGGGGAAUAUUGCACAAUGGGGGAAAGCCUGAUGCAGCAACGCCGCGUGAGCGAUGAAGGCCUUCGGUUCGUAAAGCUCUAUCCUCAAGGAAGAUAAUGACGGUACUUGAGGAGGAAGCCCCGGCUAACUACGUGCCAGCCGCCGCCGUAA